CGGCACGGGUGAGUAACACGUAUCCAACCUGCCGUCUACUCUUGGCCAGCCUUCUGAAAGGAAGAUUAAUCCAGGAUGGCAUCAUGAGUUCACAUGUCCGCAUGAUUAAAGGUAUUUUCCGGUAGACGAUGGGGAUGCGUUCCAUUAGAUAGUAGGCGGGGUAACGGCCCACCUAGUCAACGAUGGAUAGGGGUUCUGAGAGGAAGGUCCCCCACAUUGGAACUGAGACGCGGCCCAA
RNAcentral lists this ribosomal RNA (238 nucleotides) under uncultured bacterium. RNAcentral's name for it is "partial 16S ribosomal RNA". It matches the Rfam family "Bacterial small subunit ribosomal RNA", at positions 100 to 334 of the family's 1533-position model. The record is from RNAcentral.